GGGUUCCUGACUGGGGUACGGGCGUCACAAGAGAAUUUUGGGAGUCCUUGUGUGGAUUUUGUGCCUCCCUGACUGGAUUUGGGGCAAUUUUAGGGAGAAUUUGGGGUCAUUUCGGGGUCCUUGAAUGUAUUUUGGGGAAUUUGGGGGAUUUUUGGGAUCCCUGAUGGGAUUUUGGGGUAUUUUGGUGCAAUUUCAGGAUCCCUGAAGGUAUUUUAGGAUAUUUUGGUGCAAUUUUUGGGGUGAUUUGUGGUAAUUUCAGGGUCUGUUCUGGUAUUUGGAUGUAAUUUUGGGGUAUUUUGGUGUAUCUUGGUUUGAACAGACAGGUGUGUGCUGAGGAAGGCAGGAGACCCCUGAAGUGGAAAAUGUGAACCCUCUCCGUCUGAAUUGUAAUAAAUUUGAAAAUAAAAGGCUCUCGGGAAAAGAUAUGGGAGCAGAAAUAACAGAUCUUUAUUUGGGUCACACACAGAUUGUAGUUUCCUGUUUGACAGCUGAGAACAACUCAUCCUCCACUGUUAGCAGAGACAGUUGCAAAGGAAGCUCGCUAUCUUCGUGAGGCUUAAUUAAUUGAAAUCUGACUCAGAGAUAACUCCCCCCAGGAGCCAUUUCUGUCUGAUGGGCAAUCAAGGACCAAUCAUAACUCAUAGAAUGAUAUCAGCCCUGUGAGAUGCUCCGCCCAGGGGGAGGAGCUCAGCAUCCCCACCUGGAUAUAAUCUGGGCUUUGGGACAGAACAGGCAGCCCUUACCCACUGGUUUCCAGAGGACAGGAGUUACCAGAUCUUUUCUAGGGGAUCACCACUUCAGCAAGACCAUUUCAUCUGGACUGCUACCACUGCCCUAACUAGCAGGGUGUCAGGUUGGAUUCUGACUCCGUCAGUAGU
Passer montanus (Eurasian tree sparrow) is the source of this 878-nucleotide long non-coding RNA. RefSeq lists it as uncharacterized. NCBI's taxonomy places the organism in Eukaryota, Metazoa, Chordata, Aves, Passeriformes, Passeridae. The transcript is spliced from 3 exons. The record is from RefSeq and is a predicted model, not a curated record.